CUCGGGUUUCGAUAUAAUUUCCUCCACUCCCUUAUCUUCAUGAUUGAGCAUGGGUCUUUGCAAUACUAAGAGUCCACUGAUCAAUGUCCAAAAUAAGGGGGUUUAAGAAAGAAUUAAACCAAAUUGCAUUGUUUUCAAAACAAAUGCAUCAUGAUUUCCAAAUUCUUCCUUAUAAAUUGCUUGUUCCCUUCCUUGUUCACUCACUGGGUUUAUACUCACCGUUUUCAACUUCAUGUUUUC
RNAcentral lists this long non-coding RNA (240 nucleotides) under Theobroma cacao (cacao). RNAcentral's name for it is "long non-coding RNA (TCAC_LNC003079)". The record is from RNAcentral. Lineage: Eukaryota; Viridiplantae; Streptophyta; Magnoliopsida; Malvales; Malvaceae.